This 205-nucleotide long non-coding RNA is filed under the name Mytilus galloprovincialis (Mediterranean mussel). The record is from RNAcentral. Lineage: Eukaryota; Metazoa; Mollusca; Bivalvia; Mytilida; Mytilidae.
GUUUAUAGUAAGAUUGGGAAAUGUUCUUAUCUCAUGACUGUUAAACAUAUUAAACUUACUUUAAUAUAGAACAAAUCUUUAGAAAAGAAUUUGAAUGAACAGUGUUUGCAAAGAAUUAUGUGGUUACGUACAAGUGUCACAUUUUGUAAAAGUAAAACUGAUGUAAUAAAAAAAAAUAUUCAUGAAACAUGAGGGGGACCUGUUU